Molecule: ribosomal RNA, 868 nt
Filed under: Aspergillus sojae
Lineage: Eukaryota; Fungi; Ascomycota; Eurotiomycetes; Eurotiales; Aspergillaceae
Description: SSU rRNA
Rfam family: Eukaryotic small subunit ribosomal RNA
Source: RNAcentral
UAUUCUCAAAGCGUAUAUUAAGUUGUUGCAGUUAAAAGCUCGUAGUUGAACCUUGGGUCUGGCUGGCCGGUCCGCCUCACCGCGAGUACUGGUCCGGCUGGACCUUUCCUUCUGGGGAACCUCAUGGCCUUCACUGGCUGUGGGGGGAACCAGGACUUUUACUGUGAAAAAAUUAGAGUGUUCAAAGCAGGCCUUUGCUCGAAUACAUUAGCAUGGAAUAAUAGAAUAGGACGUGCGGUUCUAUUUUGUUGGUUUCUAGGACCGCCGUAAUGAUUAAUAGGGAUAGUCGGGGGCGUCAGUAUUCAGCUGUCAGAGGUGAAAUUCUUGGAUUUGCUGAAGACUAACUACUGCGAAAGCAUUCGCCAAGGAUGUUUUCAUUAAUCAGGGAACGAAAGUUAGGGGAUCGAAGACGAUCAGAUACCGUCGUAGUCUUAACCAUAAACUAUGCCGACUAGGGAUCGGGCGGUGUUUCUAUGAUGACCCGCUCGGCACCUUACGAGAAAUCAAAGUUUUUGGGUUCUGGGGGGAGUAUGGUCGCAAGGCUGAAACUUAAAGAAAUUGACGGAAGGGCACCACAAGGCGUGGAGCCUGCGGCUUAAUUUGACUCAACACGGGGAAACUCACCAGGUCCAGACAAAAUAAGGAUUGACAGAUUGAGAGCUCUUUCUUGAUCUUUUGGAUGGUGGUGCAUGGCCGUUCUUAGUUGGUGGAGUGAUUUGUCUGCUUAAUUGCGAUAACGAACGAGACCUCGGCCCUUAAAUAGCCCGGUCCGCGUUUGCGGGCCGCUGGCUUCUUAGGGGGACUAUCGGCUCAAGCCGAUGGAAGUGCGCGGCAAUAACAGUCAUAUAGUUCGCUCCCUUCAUAGAAA